Molecule: long non-coding RNA, 311 nt
Filed under: Elaeis guineensis (African oil palm)
Lineage: Eukaryota; Viridiplantae; Streptophyta; Magnoliopsida; Arecales; Arecaceae
Description: long non-coding RNA (EGUI_LNC031455)
Source: RNAcentral
UACAGUCGAAUAAAAAUUUCAUCACACUUAUAUCAAUAUAGUACGAUAAUUUAAAAUAAUGAGUAGUGUCAAAGAGAAAUUAUAAGCUACAAAAUCUUAUAUUAGGCAUCUAAUAUAACUCAAUAAUACAAACAUAGAUCAUAAAUCAUAUAUUAUCGUAAAUUCAUUAUAAAUAUCAUCAAUGGAUUUAUAUGGCUUUUAAUUUAUGUUUCAUUAAUAUGAUUCAAAAUAAUAGUUAUCUUUUAGUUUUGGACUAGCUAUGAUCAUGCUUCGACUUGUCACUUGCAAAUCAUAAACUAUACUUCAGCCCA